ACGGGUGAGUAAUGUCUGGGGAUCUGCCCGAUAGAGGGGGAUAACCACUGGAAACGGUGGCUAAUACCGCAUAACGUCGCAAGACCAAAGAGGGGGACCUUCGGGCCUCUCACUAUCGGAUGAACCCAGAUGGGAUUAGCUAGUAGGCGGGGUAAUGGCCCACCUAGGCGACGAUCCCUAGCUGGUCUGAGAGGAUGACCAGCCACACUGGAACUGAGACACGGUCCAGACUCCUACGGGAGGCAGCAGUGGGGAAUAUUGCACAAUGGGCGCAAGCCUGAUGCAGCCAUGCCGCGUGUAUGAAGAAGGCCUUCGGGUUGUAAAGUACUUUCAGCGGGGAGGAAGGCGAUGUGGUUAAUAACCGCAUCGAUUGACGUUACCCGCAGAAGAAGCACCGGCUAACUCCGUGCCAGCAGCCGCGGUAAUACGGAGGGUGCAAGCGUUAAUCGGAAUUACUGGGCGUAAAGCGCACGCAGGCGGUCUGUUAAGUCAGAUGUGAAAUCCCCGGGCUUAACCUGGGAACUGCAUUUGAAACUGGCAGGCUUGAGUCUUGUAGAGGGGGGUAGAAUUCCAGGUGU
Molecule: ribosomal RNA, 578 nt
Filed under: uncultured bacterium
Lineage: Bacteria
Description: bacterial SSU rRNA
Rfam family: Bacterial small subunit ribosomal RNA
Source: RNAcentral